CAGUCGCCACGGUAAUACGGAGGGGGCUAGCGUUGUUCGGAAUUACUGGGCGCAAAGCGCACGUAGGCGGCUUGGUAAGUUAGAGGUGAAAGCCCAGGGCUCAACCCUGGAAUUGCCUUUAAGACUGCCGAGCUAGUGGGUGAGAGAGGUGAGUGGAAUUCCGAGUGUAGAGGUGAAAUUCGUAGAUAUUCGGAAGAACACCAGUGGCGAAGGCGGCUCACUGGCUCAUUCUAGACGCUGAGGUGCGAAAGCGUGGGGAGCAAACAGGAUUAGAUACCCCAGUAGUCCCUGUCUCUUAUAC
This 301-nucleotide ribosomal RNA is filed under the name uncultured bacterium. Its description in RNAcentral is "partial 16S ribosomal RNA". It matches the Rfam family "Bacterial small subunit ribosomal RNA", at positions 509 to 807 of the family's 1533-position model. The record is from RNAcentral.